Molecule: ribosomal RNA, 465 nt
Filed under: uncultured bacterium
Lineage: Bacteria
Description: partial 16S ribosomal RNA
Rfam family: Bacterial small subunit ribosomal RNA
Source: RNAcentral
GACGAACGCUGGCGGCGUGCUUAACACAUGCAAGUCGAACGGAAAGGCCCUGCUUGCCGGGUACUCGAGUGGCGAACGGGUGAGUAACACGUGGGUGAUCUGCCCUGCACUUCGGGAUAAGCCUGGGAAACUGGGUCUAAUACCGGAUAGGAGCCAUUUUUAGUGUGAUGGUUGGAAAGUUUUUUCGGUGUAGGAUGAGCUCGCGGCCUAUCAGCUUGUUGGUGGGGUAAUGGCCUACCAAGGCGGCGACGGGUAGCCGGCCUGAGAGGGUGGACGGCCACAUUGGGACUGAGAUACGGCCCAGACUCCUACGGGAGGCAGCAGUGGGGAAUAUUGCACAAUGGGCGCAAGCCGGAUGCAGCGACGCCGCGUGGGGGAUGACGGCCUUCGGGUUGUAAACUCCUUUCGCUAGGGACGAAGCUUUUUGUGACGGUACCUAGAGAAGAAGCACCGGCUAACUACGUG